AUACGGAGGGUGCAAGCGUUAUCCGGAAUCAUUGGGUUUAAAGGGUCCGUAGGCGGACUAAUAAGUCAGGGGCGAAAUCCCACAGCUUAACUGUGGAACUGCCUUUGAUACUGUUAGUCUUGAGUUAUAUGGAAGUAGAUAGAAUGUGUAGUGUAGCGGUGAAAUGCUUAGAGAUUACACAGAAUACCGAUUGCGAAGGCAGUCUACUACAUAUAUACUGACGCUAAUGGACGAAGCGUGGGGAGCGAACAGGAUUAGAAACCCCAGUAGUCC
Molecule: ribosomal RNA, 273 nt
Filed under: uncultured bacterium
Lineage: Bacteria
Description: partial 16S ribosomal RNA
Rfam family: Bacterial small subunit ribosomal RNA
Source: RNAcentral